This 488-nucleotide ribosomal RNA is filed under the name uncultured bacterium. RNAcentral describes it as "SSU rRNA". It matches the Rfam family "Bacterial small subunit ribosomal RNA", at positions 434 to 915 of the family's 1533-position model. The record is from RNAcentral.
UUCAGGAGGGAGGAAGCCACUCAGGUUAAUAGCCGAGAGGGUGACGGUACCUCCAGAAGAAGCCCCGGCUAACUACGUGCCAGCAGCCGCGGUAAUACGUAGGGGGCAAGCGUUGUCCGGAUUUAUUGGGCGUAAGGAGCGUGUAGGCGGCCAGAUAAGUCUGCUGUGAAAACUCGAGGCUCAACCUCGAGCUGUCGGCGGAAACUAUUUGGCUAGAGUCCGGAAGAGGAAAGUGGAAUUCCUGGUGUAGCGGUGAAAUGCGCAGAUAUCAGGAAGAACACCCGUGGCGAAGGCGGCUUUCUGGGACGGUACUGACGCUGAGACGCGAAAGCGUGGGGAGCGAACAGGAUUAGAUACCCUGGUAGUCCACGCUGUAAACGAUGGGUGCUAGGUGUGGGCGGUGUCGACUCCGUCCGUGCCGAAGCUAACGCAUUAAGCACCCCGCCUGGGGAGUACGGCCGCAAGGCUAAAACUCAAAGGAAUUGACG